RNAcentral lists this non-coding RNA (152 nucleotides) under Roseovarius nanhaiticus. RNAcentral describes it as "Roseovarius sp. NH52J Ruegeria cis2 sRNA". It matches the Rfam family "Ruegeria cis2 sRNA". From Rfam's summary of the family: Cis-encoded. Targets ABC transporter. Functions in transport. Lineage: Bacteria; Pseudomonadati; Pseudomonadota; Alphaproteobacteria; Rhodobacterales; Roseobacteraceae. The record is from Rfam by way of RNAcentral.
UUCGAGUUAUUGGGCGAAUAAUUCACAAAGACGAACCCGCGCGCCUGGUCGAUCGUGUGAAAGAGCGGGUUCCAGUCGAACAUCCGCAGCAUGUAGCCCGGCAGCAUGUUGGCCACGAACAUCUUGCCCGAGGCGAUCAUGUUGGCCCGCUG